This 539-nucleotide ribosomal RNA is filed under the name uncultured Hymenobacter sp. Its description in RNAcentral is "bacterial SSU rRNA". It matches the Rfam family "Bacterial small subunit ribosomal RNA", at positions 96 to 633 of the family's 1533-position model. The record is from RNAcentral. Lineage: Bacteria; Pseudomonadati; Bacteroidota; Cytophagia; Cytophagales; Hymenobacteraceae.
UGGCGCACGGGUGCGUAACGCGUAACCAACCUACCCGAAUCUGGGGGAUAGCCCGCCGAAAGGCGGAUUAAUACCGCAUAAAACUGCAGCCUGGCAUCAGGUAACAGUUAAAGAUUUAUUGGAUUCGGAUGGGGUUGCGUGCCAUUAGCUAGUUGGCGGGGUAACGGCCCACCAAGGCGACGAUGGCUAGGGGAGCUGAGAGGCUGGUCCCCCACACGGGCACUGAGAUACGGGCCCGACUCCUACGGGAGGCAGCAGUAGGGAAUAUUGGGCAAUGGGCGAGAGCCUGACCCAGCCAUGCCGCGUGCAGGAUGAAGGCUUUCUGAGUCGUAAACUGCUUUUACCAGGGAAGAAAAAAGGGGAUGCGUCCUCUACUGACGGUACCUGGUGAAUAAGCGCCGGCUAACUACGUGCCAGCAGCCGCGGUAAUACGUAGGGCGCAAGCGUUAUCCGGAAUUAUUGGGCGUAAAGAGCUCGUAGGCGGUUUGUCGCGUCUGCCGUGAAAGUCCGGGGCUCAACUCCGGAUCUGCGGUGGGUAC